RNAcentral lists this long non-coding RNA (896 nucleotides) under Daucus carota (carrot). RNAcentral describes it as "long non-coding RNA (DCAR_LNC000249)". The record is from RNAcentral. Lineage: Eukaryota; Viridiplantae; Streptophyta; Magnoliopsida; Apiales; Apiaceae.
CGGAUUAUAUAAUGAUAGAAUUUACUAUUUAGUGAUCCGGUAUAAGUAUAUACCUUUGAUUCGGUAGAUUUUUUAUUAUUUUCAUAUCGAAAACCCCAUCCCUCUUAGCCUCACUUUCCCAAUUUUCAUGGGACAUGUUGACGCCACCAAGAGAGUUUAGACAGUCUCACUUUUCCGAAAGUAAUUUUCGUUUAUAUGCUACGCUCACGGACAAGUUUUGGGGUAUAUAGAAAAAUUCGAACGAGCGGUUAUUUGCCGAAUUGUAAUUUGAACAUAAGAUCUUACUAUCGUUGGUGGGUAUUGGACUGGAGUUGCAUUUCCCAGGAAGUUUUGUAAAUCCAAUAUGCUAAUCUCCUAGUUAUUUUUUAAAAAUUCCAUCAUGGAAUGCUGUGAAACGGAUGGGUGGUUUGGUUUGAGACGUUGAGGCGGGGACCAAUCUGUAACAGGCAUGCUCGUAAAUCAAGCGUGAUGUGAAAUCGAUGGUAAGAAAUCGACAUGACAGAUUAGACGGUGGUUAGUGAUUAGCGGUUAUUGUUUUGACGCCGUAGAUGAAAGAGAAUCGAUGGAUGGAUUACAUGAUAAGAAAUCAUGUCAAUUAAAGAAAGAGUGGAAUGAUGAUUCUUAUCCAGUUUCAUAUGUCUCUUCAGAUUGUUGUAAGAUUGUUGUAAGAUAUCAAUUUGAUUUGCACCAAACUCUCUUCUCUCACGCCUUCGAUCUUGCAAUUUGUGGAAGUGGUGAUUCUUGAUUUAUUCUCUCUAGUGGGCUUCACCACGUCACGUCAACCAUCAAUAAAAAUCAGGGACUAUUUAGGUAAGUCUCGUGUAAAGAAGGUUAUGGACUAAGUUAUUAUAUUAAUAUCGUAUCCCGCACUAUUUAUUUCUUAUGCAUUAAGUUGG